RNAcentral lists this small RNA (2011 nucleotides) under Pongo abelii (Sumatran orangutan). RNAcentral's name for it is "processed transcript". Lineage: Eukaryota; Metazoa; Chordata; Mammalia; Primates; Hominidae. The record is from RNAcentral.
UUAAAUUUGGUCAUAGCAUGAAAUCUUUUAGCUGAAUAUAAAACAUUUUGACACCUUUAAAGGAUAAACGCUCAUACCUUCAGGACUGUCAAUUCAUUUUAUUAGUUGUGUGGUAUUAGAUGCAUCUCCCUUGGAGCAUACUCUUAAUUGUUAAUUUAAAGUUCCUUGUAGUUUUAAUUUUAAAGGACUUAUUUGGAAUGUUAUUAACAUUCCUUUCGUUUUGUAAUCCCCAACAGAAUUUUGCCAUUGCCAGAUAAUUUAACUAGUGCAGGAAUUUGACUUUGUUAUAUACUCAUGAGGGGCAAAUUCUUUACUGAUCAUUUGAUGGUUAGCUUUGCCAGAAGAUUAGGAAUAUUACUAUUUUAGUUUCCCAAGAUGAUAAGUCUUUGAAAGUGGACAAGAGAAUUGACUCAGUAAAGGUUACAGCCACGAAGACAGCAGAAUUGUAAAAUUGUUCUCAUUGCUGAUAAAAUUGAGUCUUUAAAUGCAUAGUUGCAUACAUGCAUGAAUGCGUGCACACACACACACACACAGACACACUUUGGGAAUGUAAUCUGUAAAAUAUGUUGCCAGUCUCAGAUGAUACUGUAAAAUAAGUGGAGUUUUCAUUGUCCUGGCUUUCUUUUCUGCUUCUUUUUAUUGAUUUUUUAAUUAGCCUACCCCAAUAUCUUCCAGGGAAUUUUUAAAAAGUUAUCCUUCUCUCUUUCUUGAGGUUCCUCAUAUAGUCUCACUCACACGCACAUUUUCACGAGAGCGAAGUCUACCCUUAACUGAAAUGAAUGACUGCUGAAUGAUCAGGAACUCCAAGUCUACAUGGAAUUCUUGCUCUUCGGUCCCAGACUCUCCCUUCUGUGUCCCCCUUAGGCAGGCAAGAUGAUGAUGAAUGAAGUCCUGGCAGCUUCCUGUGUCCCAGGCCUUGUAGAAAUAAAUGAGACAGACGUGCUUCAAAGUUCUAAUGUGCAUCACAUCGGAUCUUGUUUAAGGAAGCGUUAAAAGGAACCCGCCGUUACCUAUUGAGAAGGCUCUGUGCUCUCAGGCGUUGUUUCUGAUUGAAUCCAGAGGUUGCAAGCAUGCCUUCCUGUAUUACCUGUUGGAGCAGGUUUAAUUUUAUAAAUUUUAAACACAAACUCUAUGAGUUUCUAGUUCAUAAUUGUUCUUUUUGGGGAUCCACUCAGAUGAACAGUAUUGCAUCUGUAAGAGAUACCCACUCCACAGGACCAGAUUUGAUUGGAAUAUCAGUGGCAACAGACUCCAUCUGUAGCUCAUCCAGUACCAGUGAUGGAAAGGACAGAUGGCAAGGAAACCCUUCGAGGGGAAAAAGAAAGUCAUAUUGUGUUGGACCUACAGAUUACUAGAAACAUAGCUUUAGUAAACCAAGGCUUUUUUUCUUGAACCCAAUCUGUGUAGACUGUGUAGUUCUUGAUUGGUGGCUUUAAUCCAUUAUCAUUAGGUAUCUCCUUGAACAUUCUCAAACACUGAAAGUCUUAAGCUUUCAUUAAAAAAAAAAAAAAAAAGUAAAUGCAGCUUUCAGAAAAUCCAGGAUUCAGUACACUCUUCUGAGUGUUUCACUUCAGCCUCCCUGUCCUGUUAUUACCGACGGCAGGUACCCGGGUGGUAGACAAGGAGCCUUGCAGGAUAGAUAAGGAAAUGAAGAUGAACAGACAUAUCACAUUGUAUCGUAAACAUACUUUAUAAGUACAUUUCUUAUUAGCUUCUUAUUCAGGCAGAGAUUAUAAAAGUUUGCUGCAGGUAUCCAGACCAGAAUUUGUGUUUUGGAAAUUAUCAGUGUUCACAAUACCUGCAGGGAAAAAAAAAAAUACAAAAACUCAAAUAUGAAUACUCUUUACACCCAAAAGAAUAUUUUUAUCCUUCUUUUAUUUGUUUUUGGCUCUGUCAAAAAUUAAAGUGCUUGGAAUGCUGUAGUCUGUGGUCUCUUGAAAUUUAAUCAAUGAGAACCUAGCAUUUUCACAGUAUGCUGUCACUUUGGACAUUCAUAAUAAAAAUUGAAACU